Molecule: transfer RNA, 72 nt
Filed under: Plestiodon lynxe bellii
Lineage: Eukaryota; Metazoa; Chordata; Lepidosauria; Squamata; Scincidae
Description: tRNA-Ile
Rfam family: tRNA
About the family: Transfer RNA (tRNA) molecules are approximately 80 nucleotides in length.
Source: RNAcentral
AAGGAAAUGUGCCCGAAAGUUAAGGGCUACUUUGAUAGAGUAAAAUACAGAGGUUAAAGUCCUCUCAUUUCC